Molecule: long non-coding RNA, 4028 nt
Filed under: Homo sapiens (human)
Lineage: Eukaryota; Metazoa; Chordata; Mammalia; Primates; Hominidae
Description: HSALNT0294789
Source: RNAcentral
CCCAGGCUGGUCUCAAGUGAUCCUCACACCUCAGCCUCCUAAAGUGCUGGGAUUACAGGUGUGAGCCACCACACCCAGCUAAAUACUGCCUUUUAAUAAUACAAUCCUUUCAUAAAUAAACGAUUAGGUAUAAUGGGAAAAAAUCCUCCAAGCUGUACAUACUGAAAUACUUGAAUCCAAUAAUUUAGAAAUGAUAUCUUACAUUUCAUUUAGCUAACUAGACCCUAACUAGAAUCCUGGGUGUACUUCAAGGUUAUACAUUUAAAAUAGUAUCAUACUCAAUGUGUGGAGUAGAACAGCAUCUGACUCCUUAGGCAAUCAUGGACACUCCCUUCUCUAAUCCUCUUGUCCUUAUACAUACCCUCCGCUAUAGGUCCUUUACAUAUUAUUACACAUUUAUACAUACUAUUGUAAACUUUUUGUUUUAUAUAUCUAGCUCCUCACUGUAUUGUAUUUUUCUGUAUUCAGAAACCCUAUCUUUUUUGGAGAGGAUGUUUGUCUUAAAUAAAGAAAAGAAAAAUUAAAAGAAAACAAAAUAUAUUAAAAAAGAAACCCCAUAUAUCUCUAUGAUCUCAGAAUCUAGAAUGGCACCUAGCACUUGUAAAGUAUUCAUAUCAGUGAAAAUUAUUGCCUACAUUAAUCAGAAAUGUGUUAAUAAAAACAUCGGAUAGAUUACAGAAAAAAGGAGAAGGCUGAGAAAAAAGUAGUAUACACUUGGAUAUGGUUUGUCCUUUCAGUCGUAUCACAUACAUUUGGUAAAUAACUAGACUUUAAUAUGCCACUCUCCAGUGGUUCUAAAGAGCUUAGGUAAUUAGGCUUAUACAUAUUAAAAAACCCUAGAUCACUUGCUGUAGAGUGAAUCUUGGCAGGAGAGGGUCCCUUUGAGAAUUUACGCAUGGAUCCUAUCUCAAAGAAUGGUAGCCACAAAUUUUUGCAUUAAGUGAGUUGUGGAGCCCCAGAAAGUCUUCCUAUGGAUCUUAGAAUAAGAACCUCGGAGAAGACUUAUCUAUCUAGUUGUUUUCAAUAGACUGACACCUAUACAGUAGGUAAGUAGUAGCUAUGCAGGCAAUGGUUAAAACUGGAAUUUAAAGCUCUCAAUCCAAAAUAAAGGUUCACAGGAAUUCUCGUUCACACCUAGGCUCAAGACAUACUUACUUCAAAGGCAGAAUAAUCCGGGGCUGUCAGGUAGCUCAGGUAGUUCUUAGUAGGUCGGUAUCUGCGAGUUUCCUCCUCCACCAGCGCUGCAGCCUAAGAAAGAGAAUAGGGACCAGGGUAGAAGUGGCAAAUUGUAACAUGUUUCUUUCAGUACCGAGCCAGCUAGCAGUGAGUCAGCUACAAAGACACCCCGCACUCACCGCUUCCCGCACACCAGGGGCUUCAUAACCUUGAUCAAAAUACGGCAGCGCAUCCACCACAACCUCUCCAGCCACCAAACCUGUGCCCGCCAUUCUGAGGACCUCAGGUUUGCCUGCGUUUUCUGCGUCUGCGUAAACUCAGUUAUAUUUAAUUACGCCGGCGCCUGACACUGAUGUAAUCACGUUCCCUCCGUAUUGACGUUAGUGCAUGCUCAGUUGCUAAUUUUGAAGGCGGGUCCGCCCGGUAUCUAGAAAUUGCCGGGCUGGUUUGUUUUGGGCGGACGUGACGUAACGUCUUGGCUUGUCUGCGUCAGCGAAAGGCCUCAAUUUCCUGUCCUCUGCUUACUGCCCCUUUUUUUGCCUGCGAAUGGCGGCGAUUUGAAGUUGGGGCUUUUCGUUUCCUCCAAAACAUUGAUAUCUGGAAAGGGAGCCCCUUAACACUUUUGGAGGGAACUGGCUGCAGCAUUUGGCGGGGAGAGAUAAACUGGUUUCCCACCUCUGCUUACUCCCACCUUCUCCCCUUAAUCUUCUCUUCCUCUGUGCGAGACUUUUUUCCUUUUUUAUUGUAGACACAGGGUCUUUGUUCUGCUGCCCAGGUUGGAGUGCAGUGGCGUGAUCAUAGCUCACUGCAGCCUCAACCCCCCGGGCCCAAGCGAUCCUUCCACCUCAGCCUCCCGAGUAGCUGGGCCUAGAGGUGCACACCACCAUGCCUGGCUAAUUUUUAAUUUUUUUUGUAGAGAUGGAGCCUUUCUAUGUUGCCAAGCCUAGCCUCGAACUCCUGGCCUCCCAAAAUGUGGGGAAUACAGGCGUGAGCCACUGCACCCCGGGUCAUUCCUCUUUUACUUCCUUGCUGUACCCCAACUAUCCUUCCCCCUCGGUGCCCUUAAAACCUUUGCAUUGGGUAAGUACAUUUUUUAAAGAGACUCUAGAAUUGGGCGCCAGUCUCCAAUUAAAAUUGUGAAGCUUUAUGGUCUGCGUAUCAAAAGGAACCUCAGUUCCUUAAAAAUCCUGUCAUUUUGCCUUUAGGACUUAACGGUAAUAGAAUGGCAUUCCUCACUGCCUCCGAACCACUCAAGCUGCUGCCCAUGCACUCUCUUCUGCAUGGCUCCUGGACUAAGCAGCCUCCCUUUGAUUAAGCAGGUAAAAACCAAAUAAAGUUGUCAGACUAUAUGCCCUGCCCAGUGUGCAGUCUAGACCCAGCCUUUGUCUGCCAAGAGCCUGGAAAUGUUGACCUCCGUUAUUAAGCCUGGUCAGUCUAAGACUAAUUCUUAUUACCGAAGUACCAUUAGGUAAAUGUGCUAGCUAUAGAUUUAAGUGACAUAAAAGAUCUUAAAGAAUUCUCCAAGGGAUCUGUGGGGGGUUUAUGUAUUUAUUCAUUAAAAGAUCUGUAAACAACAUUUUAUACAAAUCUUGAUUCUUUUACAAAAAUAUCCAGAAUUCCUAACACUUUACAGAAAACACAACAGACCUAAGGAAAUGAAGCAGCUUCAGGCUGCGAGGAUGAAGACACCAUUGCUGAAGCAAAGGUCUCCUCCUAGAGGGAUAGCCAGGAUCCAUCACAGUAAACCCUUUUACCCCCAUUUUAUAAACAUCCAAUUAUUAACUGUUCCUGCUGGGUUGGAGUGUAAGAAGAGACCAAAUGGAGAGAUGUCUAGUAGAAGCCCCACUGGGGGUAACCUGCUUAACAUUAAAAAAAAGACAGGCUCAGUUCUAUUCCCUGGACCCACAUCUGUAGGAAUUAUAUUAUACAGCACCAGUCUUAAAUGGUGUUCUGCUUCAGAUUCAUGCAUACCUGAAUGGGUUGUAAUGACAAUACUGUACAAGUCAAUAAACUGUAUCACAAUACAACUUACACAGUUUUGUAAGGUUGAAUAAAUACUUUCUGUGCCAGUUAAAACCAUCAGCAGAAACUGAAGAAAACAAACUGACAUUUGCUAUAACAUUAAUCAAUGAAAAGUGCACCAUCUGAACUUGAAUUUGCCCAUGAGUUUGAAAACACACACACACACACACACACACACACACAGGCCGGGUGCAGUGACUCAUGCCUGUAAUCCCAGCACUUUGGGAGGCCAAGGUGGGCAGAUCAACGAGGUCAGGAGUUCGAGACCAGCUUGACCAAUAUGGUGAAACCCCAUCUCUACUAAAAAUACAAAAAUUAGCUUGGCGUGGUGGCACAUGCCUAUAAUCCCAGCUACUCAGGAGGCUGAGGCAGGAGAAUUGCCUGAACCCGGGAGGCAGAGGUUGCAGUGAGCCGAGCUUGCGCCACUGCACUCCAGCCUGAGUGACAGAGGGAGACUCCGUCUCAAAAAAAAAAAAAAAAAAUCAGAUAUUUACUGCUCAGAGGAUGAUUCACACACUCUGUUUUGGCUGCCAGGAAACUACUGCAUAUAUGUCUGGACAUGCAGCUCUCUGCCGCUCCCCUAAGAAUAUUCCAUCAUAAGAACCAUACUGUUUUGCCUCACUCCACUAUGGGAGACUUUAAAUGCUGUCAAACAUCUGACAGUGUUUAAUUCUGACUGUUUAAUUCUCCAAACCUCAACAGGCUCUGAAAAUAAGGAAAUCAUCUACAAAAUGGAACUUCAUGUGGGAAAAAACAUGCUUAGUCACAAAGGUAGGUGCCACUCCACCUAACCCAUGAUCAUCACAACAACGGGAGCAGCCCCAUUGACU